GCGGGUAUAGUUUAAUGGUAGAAUAAGGGAUUUCCAAUCCUUUGACCGGAGUUCGAUUCUCCGUACCCGCACAA
Molecule: transfer RNA, 74 nt
Filed under: Candidatus Yonathbacteria bacterium RIFCSPLOWO2_01_FULL_47_33b
Lineage: Bacteria; Candidatus Yonathiibacteriota
Description: tRNA-Gly
Rfam family: tRNA
About the family: Transfer RNA (tRNA) molecules are approximately 80 nucleotides in length. Their secondary structure includes four short double-helical elements and three loops (D, anti-codon, and T loops).
Source: RNAcentral